This 393-nucleotide ribosomal RNA is filed under the name uncultured Mortierellales. Its description in RNAcentral is "eukaryotic LSU rRNA". The stretch from base 338 to 393 matches the Rfam family "Eukaryotic large subunit ribosomal RNA", at positions 1 to 56 of the family's 3401-position model. Lineage: Eukaryota; Fungi; Mortierellomycota; Mortierellomycetes; Mortierellales. The record is from RNAcentral.
ACAUACGCGUGUGAAUCAUCGAAUCUUUGAACGCAAUUUGCACCGGAGGGUGCAUGUCCCCCGGUAUACUUGUUUGAGUAUCCGAAACACUCUCACUCCCCCUUCGGGGCGGCGUGGAUCGGAUGAGAUUCCAGUGCUUCAUCGUCUGGUCUCUUAAAAGAGAUGAGUCCCGCUUUGUGGAAGGUCUCCGCUAGCUUUGGUGUGACUAUUGGGAUAACAUCCUAACAAUCGUCCUCAAGGCAUCAACGUGUUGACCGACCUGUGGAUUCACCCUGGACGCCAGCUGCUUCGGUAGAAGGCUCCACGUUGUGACCCUCGUGGUUACAGACCGUUCUCUGGAUCUCAAAUCAAGUAAGGAUACCCGCUGAACUUAAGCAUAUCAAUAAGCGGAGG